RNAcentral lists this long non-coding RNA (284 nucleotides) under Arabidopsis thaliana (thale cress). RNAcentral's name for it is "long non-coding RNA (ATHA_LNC000165)". Lineage: Eukaryota; Viridiplantae; Streptophyta; Magnoliopsida; Brassicales; Brassicaceae. The record is from RNAcentral.
AUGCACUACGAGGUGAUGGAGAUGAUGAGGACGCAAAAACGUUGGUUGGUAAGGUUUGUCCCAAAAAGGCAAUGUUAUUGCGAUUGGUAUUAAAACCAGGUUGGUCCAAUUGUGACGAAGUAGUAUUAAGCUGUCGUUGUUGAUGAUUUUGGUUGAUAUUUCCAUGGUUGACUUCCACAUCCAGGGCAUUGUUCAAAUAUGCGGGUGCUGGUGGAACUGAGACAAAUCUAGCACUCUCUUCAGCUAAAGCGUCACAGAAUGCUCUAUGUGUGAUGAAACUAUCU